UACAGAGGGGGCAAGCGUUAUUCGGAAUUAUUGGGCGUAAAGGGCGCGUAGGCGGCUUCGCAAGUGGAAGGUGAAAUCCCUCGGCUUAACCGAGGAACUGCCCUCCAAACUGCGUUGCUUGAGGCCGGGAGAGGUGAGUGGAAUUCCCAGUGUAGCGGUGAAAUGCGUAGAUAUUGGGAGGAACACCAGUGGCGAAGGCGGCUCACUGGACCAUAACUGACGCUGAGGCGCGAAAGCUAGGGGAGCAAACAGG
Molecule: ribosomal RNA, 253 nt
Filed under: uncultured bacterium
Lineage: Bacteria
Description: partial 16S ribosomal RNA
Rfam family: Bacterial small subunit ribosomal RNA
Source: RNAcentral